Non-coding RNA from Peromyscus maniculatus bairdii (prairie deer mouse), 2815 nucleotides. NCBI's taxonomy places the organism in Eukaryota, Metazoa, Chordata, Mammalia, Rodentia, Cricetidae. The record is from RefSeq and is a predicted model, not a curated record.
UUGGCUGCAAGGAUGACCUUGAGCUUUUCAGGUGUGCACCACAACACCCCAUCUAUGUGGUGCUGGGACAGACCCAGGACCUUGCCCCUGCUAGGCAAGCAUUCUACUCACUGAACUGCUUCUCCGGCCCCAGACCUCCCACUGCCUGACUGGAUGGCUUUGCUUCCAAUUUGCCUAAAUCCUUCUAUUCUAUGCAGCGUUGAUGAUAAUUUCUACUCUUUCUAAUAUUUUCUCCUCUAUUUGAACAAUGAAAAAUAAUCUCACUCAUCUUUCAGAUCCUAUUCCAAAUGUCGUUUCUCCCACAAAGCCUUUCUUCUAGCCAUUUAGCUUCCACUGCUUGAAUGAUGCAUGUUCACUGUCAAAAAAUGUAGAGGACCAAGAACACAGGAGGGAAAAGGGAGACAACGUUAUGGUUAACUCUGGCAUGGGCGACCCCUGCUCCUGGGAUAUGUAGUCCUUCAUCCCAGAGUUUCCUUUCCUAGAGGAUAUGCAUUUUAACAAAGUCACCACUGUCCUAUUAUCUAUGUUAUAUUAUAACCAAUUUUCUUUUCACUUAAAAUGUCUUGAACAUUUUUCUGUUCAUUAAGUAUUUCAUUUAGGGAUAUGGCAGUAUCGUGGGUAAUAGCAAAAAUCUGGAAACAACACAAUUAUCUUGUUGAAGGAUGGAAUAAACGAAAGUUGCCAAAGCCCGCAUGAUCAAAUAUUCAGUGACUAUUAAAACAACUAUCAUAUAUCUGUGCUUUGCUAAUGUGGAAAGUAUCUGAGCCAAAUUGUUAAAAAUUGAAAGCAAAGUGCCAGAUGAGGGGGUAUACUGUGACACCCACAAUUUGAAUAAAAAUAAGUCUGCAAUAGUUCCAUGCUUGUGUAUGUGCUUUACAACACAGGCCUUUCUGUAAGCAUACUGGGAAUUCUUUAGGUAAAGGUACUGUCUUUGGAUAGAGGGAUAUUUUGAGUAUUUAGCAUGAAGGUAGUGGGGACUCUGGGGUAGGAAAAAGAUAUUUCAUUGACAUUUUGAGGGGUUUGGACAUUUUAAACAUCUGUGUUUUAUGGACAUUUCCAUAUAAUUGUAUUAAAUAUUUGUCUACAGUGUAAUCUUUGAUGGCUACAUACAUUCUAGUGAAUAAUUGCACUAUAAUGUAUGGGAUCAUGUCUCAAUUGAUGAGGAUAUAGGCUACUUCAAGUUUGGGGCUAUCCUACACCAUACAGAAGUAGCCUUUUUGUAGCUCUCACUAAAUUACCCCCAAGAGACUUUGCGCUCUUUCAUUUUUUUGACUGAGAUCUUCCAGUGAAUGUGAUUGCUUAUGACUUUGAAUUCCCAUACAACUUCAUUUGCAUAUCUGUGCUGGGGUUUCUUCCACCAUCAGAGGAGAGCAGCAGAUGCACAUCUUACAUCCCUGGGUCCUUAUUGCAUCUCUAGCUAUCAAAAUGAUAAUGUUAGACACUUUAGACACUUGGAAAUGUCAGAGACGGUGACUGCCGGACUUGCUUCCUUUCCUGCUUCAACACAGAGCUGCAGUGAAUCAUUUUACACAGUGAGUGAACAUCUUUCUACAAUGAUGGUAAUGCAAUUUAGCCAGCUGAAUGUCCUGAGAUAGCCCUGUUUGUAGACCACUAUAAACCACACUCUGUAGACCCUCAUGAAAUAACAACAUCUUGAACAAUUGAGCUAAGGCAAUUUUACACACAUAUAAAAAUACUUCUAUAUAAAUAUAUACCAUAAAGUUGUGUAACCAAGCCACAGAACUGAGCCAUAUUGACUGCUUCUGGCUUCCUCAUUAAUAAUUAGUUGCCCCUCGUCAUUUAUUUUUCUCCUAUUGGCUCCUGGCGGCAGACAAUUAGCAGUCAGUGCUGAGGUAAGAAACACUGAUGAGUUUUGUCAUGUGGGAAAUUACCUUGAUGCAAAUAGCCUCUGCAUAGACCACGAGCGAGGUGAGCUAUCCCAGAGGUUAUGGAUCACAAAUUAAGAGGCCUGAGUUACAUGGUUUAUUGAAUCAAUUAAAAACACACAGUGGGAAGUAAGGGGAGGGAGGUGGAGUACAUCCACGUAGCAAUGAGCUAGAAGAACAAUUCUGCAUGAAUCCUAAUCAGCCGCCAGCCUCCCUCUUCCCCCUCCCUCUUCCUCCCUGCCUUCUCCAUCUCCCUGCACCUUCUCCUUUCCCCACGCUCUCUCUCAUUAGCCUUCCCUGCAAUGGUGGAGCAGUGAGGACCGGAAUUAAGGUUGGGAGCAAGGAGACUCCUUCGUAGAGAUGCAGCACACGUACAUUCUGUAACCAGCCUGGUAGGAGUGAUGAUGUUCUAAAAGGAUACUUGUGCCCUUCUCUUUGGCGAUCAGACUGUUGAGACAAUGGACCCGAAAGGAACAGUGAUUCUCCCAGGAAUCUCUUGCUGGGAGAAGGAGAAGACUGCGAGGAGCCUGGUGCCUGCCAGAGCAGAGCAGAGCGGUCUCCCAGAAAGAGAUUCAUAACUUGCCAGAUAAUUGUGGGAGAAACUGGAGCUCGGACAAAGAUGGGACCACCCCGGACCAGGACUAUUUAGCUGUGCAUGCCUCUUUGCUUCUAUUUAAACCUAAACCGUAUGCCAGGACCCUGAUGAUGAGCUUGAAGGGGUCCCUGGGCCUCUGUUCCUUUUCCCAACAUGGCCACGGUGGUCCAGGCUGACUUGUCCUAGCUGUCAACCAUAACAAAUGGCUCUUAAGUUACUUGUUGACUAUACAAGACAUAAGUUGUGAACUUUGUAUUUUCCAUUGCUGCCUCCGUCUUCUGUAGUGCUAAAUAUUCUUAAAUAAAUAAAUGGCCACUGCCAGUUUAAAACCUAA